Molecule: long non-coding RNA, 475 nt
Organism: Sarcophilus harrisii (Tasmanian devil)
Lineage: Eukaryota; Metazoa; Chordata; Mammalia; Dasyuromorphia; Dasyuridae
Exons: 2
Source: RefSeq, a predicted model, not a curated record
UGUCACUCUCUGCAAACAGCAGCGCUCCCCUAAUGGCCUGGCCACUGGCGAGGGGCCGGGCGGCGCCCGGGGCCCGGCCGCUCCCAGCCCUCCUCGCUUUCCGCCACGCGGGAGGGUCACGCGCAAUCGGGACACCAUCUGUUGGCCUGCCGGGGACACGUGGGAGGUGGGAGGUGGGGAGGGACAGGAUGGCAGUCUUGGAAAAGGAGGCCAUCGUGGGCACGGGGGAGAGAGCGCUGACCCCGCGGCUCUCUGAAUUUACCGGUGUGACCUCGGACGAGUCCCUCCCCGGGGCUCAGUUUACUCCUCCGGCAAAUGAGGGGAUCAGGCCAUGACAUGAUUAAUCGUUUUCUUCUGAUCUAAUUUUGGAACAUGAAAAACAGCACAUUUGUCUCGAAGAAAAAUGAUGUGCCGAACUGCGCAGAUGGAAAUUUCGAGCAAUGAGAAAGAUUAAAGUGAAACUCCGCUCCUUAGA